RNAcentral lists this ribosomal RNA (1166 nucleotides) under uncultured Neisseriaceae bacterium. RNAcentral's name for it is "bacterial SSU rRNA". It matches the Rfam family "Bacterial small subunit ribosomal RNA", at positions 45 to 1203 of the family's 1533-position model. The record is from RNAcentral. Lineage: Bacteria; Pseudomonadati; Pseudomonadota; Betaproteobacteria; Neisseriales; Neisseriaceae.
UGCUCCUUACAAGCAAGUCGAACGGCAGCACGGAGAGCUUGCUCUCUGGUGGCGAGUGGCGAACGGGUGAGUAAUGCAUCCCAACGUACCGAGUAAUGGGGGAUAACUGUCCGAAAGGAUGGCUAAUACCGCAUACGCCCUGAGGGGGAAAGCGGGGGAUCUUAGGACCUCGCGUUAUUUGAGCGGCCGAUGUUGGAUUAGCUAGUUGGUGGGGCAAAGGCCUACCAAGGCGACGAUCCAUAGCGGGUCUGAGAGGAUGAUCCGCCACAUUGGGACUGAGACACGGCCCAAACUCCUACGGGAGGCAGCUUUGGGGAAUUUUGGACAAUGGGGGGAACCCUGAUCCAGCCAUGCCGCGUGUCUGAAGAAGGCCUUCGGGUUGUAAAGGACUUUUGUUAGGGAAGAAAAGCUGGGUGUUAAUACCAUCUAGUGCUGACGGUACCUAAAGAAUAAGCACCGGCUAACUACGUGCCAGCAGCCGCGGUAAUACGUAGGGUGCGAGCGUUAAUCGGAAUUACUGGGCGUAAAGCGAGCGCAGACGGUUAAAUAAGUCAGAUGUGAAAUCCCCGAGCUCAACUUGGGACGUGCAUUUGAAACUGUGUAACUAGAGUGUGUCAGAGGGAGGUAGAAUUCCACGUGUAGCAGUGAAAUGCGUAGAGAUGUGGAGGAAUACCGAUGGCGAGAGGCAGCCUCCUGGGAUAACACUGACGUUCAUGCUCGAAAGCGUGGGUAGCAAACAGGAUUAGACACCCUGGUAGUCCCCGCCCUAAACGAUGACAAUUUGCUGUUGGGGUACUAGAUGCCUUAGUAGCGAAGCUAACGCGUGAAAUUGUCCGCCUGGGGAGUACGGUCGCAAGAUUAAAACUCAAAGGAAUUGACGGAGACCCGCACAAGCGGUGGAUGAUGUGGAUUAAUUCGAUGCAACGCGAAGAACCUUACCUGGUCUUGACAUGUACGGAAUCUCUUAGAGAUAGGAGAGUGCCUUCGGGAACCGUAACACAGGUGCUGCAUGGCUGUCGUCAGCUCGUGUCGUGAGAUGUUGGGUUAAGUCCCGCAACGAGCGCAACCCUUGUCAUUAGUUGCCAUCAUUAAGUUGGUCACUCUAAUGAGACUGCCGGUGACAAACCGGAGGAAGGUGGGGAUGACGUCAAGUAAAAAUGGCCCUU